Struthio camelus australis is the source of this 1299-nucleotide long non-coding RNA. RefSeq lists it as uncharacterized. NCBI's taxonomy places the organism in Eukaryota, Metazoa, Chordata, Aves, Struthioniformes, Struthionidae. The record is from RefSeq and is a predicted model, not a curated record.
UGAGAGCCCGUGCUGAACUUUAAGAACAGCACUAACUCUCUGAAAUAAUUGUGUGUUACAAGUUUUGGAGUCUUUUGACUAGUAGAGUUCAAGAGUGCCUACUUAACUGGAGCUGAAUGAGAGACUUAUCCCAAGAAUGAUCAAAGAAAGCGUGGAUUACUCCUGUACUUGAGGGAUUGAACUGAACCUGGCAUGGGUCCACGCUGGAAGAACGCUGUAUCCACCUCUGGUAGCUGUGACAGGCGCUGUUCCUUUCCUGUGGAUUCAUCUAGACGCAACAGACUCGUCUGGAAACGCCGCACAAGUAGUCUUGCGCGUACAGAACAACAAAGCUACGAACAUCUUGCGUUAACGCGUUUGGUUCCCGGUGUACGUAAAGUCAAGCCAAAGGAAGUGCGCAUACCUCUAAGGCCAGAAUGAAGAUACUUGCUCUGAACUGUAAGAUGGCCUCAUCUAACAGUGAUAUUAGCGAGAGGAUGAGAAACGUUUCUUUUUUUCCCCAAACGCUGGGUGUUUGGGAAGCAACUCCUAGAGCUGCACUGCUUCUGAAAGUGCUGGGAGCUGACACCCUCUGUGUCCGUGGCCCUUGCCACAAGGGGGAAGCCUCAGGCUUUCUCUGAAGAGAAGCCGCACAGAUGAGUGGAGAUGCUGCUGCUGUUGCCUAUGUUUGGAACUGGCCUGCCAGAUGGAGGUGAUGGAGCCACCUCCCUUUCCAGCAAAGCUGCUGCUCUGUUGGCUUCAGCUCUGAUUCUGUUCUGGAGUUAGCGUGCAGCAGAGUGGAGAGUCCAACACAGGAAGAACUGGUUGCAGGAGCACAUGAGGGAGAGCUGAGAAGUGGCAGCAGAACUGUGCAGAGCCCUGGAAACUGAACACAAGGAACUUCAUGCAAAAAGAACGAACCUGCCAGUGGAGGAAUCUGGAAGGAAAAAAAAAGGACAUGCUGAGGAAAAUGAUUUUGACAAUAUUUGGGGAAACAUCAGAACAAAUAAGGCUGAACUGAAUGUAGGCAGAAGAUCAAGAUUCUUUCUUUGGAUGUAGAUUGCAGAAAAUGUUUAGUAACAUAAACUUUUUCCAAAAAUGAGUACUGAAUUUAUGAACACCUAAAAAAUACUCUUUGAAAUGUAAAGAGCUAAUUAACAUUCUCAAGGGUGAUUUAUCCACGUUACAGACAGAAAAUUUACAAAUUGUAAGUAUUCCCUAGAUGCAAAUGAAUAGAUAGUAAAACCUAAAGAAAUGCCAAGGACAGAGAAAAACAUCUUAUUUUAAGGCAAACUAACUAUAAUGAAUUGAAUAACUUUU